Molecule: ribosomal RNA, 379 nt
Filed under: uncultured eukaryote
Lineage: Eukaryota
Description: partial 18S ribosomal RNA
Rfam family: Eukaryotic small subunit ribosomal RNA
Source: RNAcentral
CAAUAGCGUAUAUUUAAGUUGUUGCAGUUAAAAAGCUCGUAGUUGGAUUUCGGAUGGGACUUGCCGGUCCGUCGUUUCGAUGUGCACUGGCCAGUCCUAUCUUGUUGUCGGGGACUAGCUCCUAGGCUUCACUGUCCGGGACUAGGAGCUGACGAGGUUACUUUGAGUAAAUUAGAGUGUUCAAAGCAAGCCUACGCUCUGAAUACAUUAGCAUGGAAUAACACGAUAGGACUCUGGCUUAUCUUGUUGGUCUGUGAGACCAGAGUAAUGAUUAAGAGGGACAGUCGGGGGCAUUCGUAUUUCAUUGUCAGAGGUGAAAUUCUUGGAUUUAUGAAAGACGAACUUCUGCGAAAGCAUUUGUCAAGGAUGUUUUCAUUAA